CAAUAGCGUAUAUUAAAGUUGUUGCAGUUAAAAAGCUCGUAGUUGGAUUUCUGGCGGUGUGACUCCGGCCGGCAUGACGUCGGGUCCAGAGCGCGCCACCAUCCUUCUGUCAACCUUCGCGGGAUUCGCUUCCCGCGUUGUGGGCUCAGAUAUUUUACCUUGAGAAAAUUAGAGUGUUUCAGGCAGGCUUUCGCCGGAAUACAUUAGCAUGGAAUAAUAAUCUAGGACUUCGGUUCUAUUUUGUUGGUUUCUUAGAUCUGAAGUAAUGAUUGAUAGGGAUAGUUGGGGGUGGCUAGUAUUAAGGGGCCGAGAGGUGAAAUUACUUGGAUUCUCUUAAGACUAACUUAUGCGAAAGACAUUCACCAAGGAUGUCUUCUUUAAUCAAGAACGAAAGUUGGGGGAUCGAAGACGAUCAGAUACCAU
This 423-nucleotide ribosomal RNA is filed under the name uncultured eukaryote. Its description in RNAcentral is "bacterial SSU rRNA". It matches the Rfam family "Eukaryotic small subunit ribosomal RNA", at positions 592 to 1018 of the family's 1831-position model. The record is from RNAcentral.